RNAcentral lists this ribosomal RNA (465 nucleotides) under uncultured bacterium. Its description in RNAcentral is "bacterial SSU rRNA". It matches the Rfam family "Bacterial small subunit ribosomal RNA", at positions 338 to 795 of the family's 1533-position model. The record is from RNAcentral.
CCUACGGGAUGCACCAGUGGGGAAUAUUGCACAAUGGGCGCAAGCCUGAUGCAGCCAUGCCGCGUGUAUGAAGAAGGCCUUCGGGUUGUAAAGUACUUUCGGCGAGGAGGAAGGCGAUAAGGUUAAUAACCUUGUCGAUUGACGUUACUCGCAGAAGAAGCACCGGCUAACUCCGUGCCAGCAGCCGCGGUAAUACGGAGGGUGCAAGCGUUAAUCGGAAUUACUGGGUGUAAAGCGCACGCAGGCGGUCUGUCGAGUCGGAUGUGAAAUCCCCGGGCCCAACCUGGGAAUGGCAUCUAAGACUGGUCAGCUAGAGUCUUGUAGAGGGGGGUAGAAUUCCAUGUGUAGCGGUGAAAUGCGUAGAGAUGUGGAGGAAUACCGGUGGCGAAGGCGGCCCCCUGGACAAAGACUGACGCUCAGGUGCGAAAGCGUGGGGAGCAAACAGGAUUAGAUACCCCGGUAGUC